Choloepus didactylus (southern two-toed sloth) is the source of this 877-nucleotide long non-coding RNA. RefSeq lists it as uncharacterized. Lineage: Eukaryota; Metazoa; Chordata; Mammalia; Pilosa; Megalonychidae. The transcript is spliced from 3 exons. The record is from RefSeq and is a predicted model, not a curated record.
UGUUGGUUUAAGUGGCUGGGGCAGCAGGCUGGGGGGGGCAGGGAUGCCCCCUUCACAUUCACAAAGUUCUGGCCAACCUGCACAUUCCUGUUACUAUUCUUUUCCCAGCUCGCUGCCCACCACCAAAUCCCAGGGGAAGUUCACCCGGAGGGAGUGUGAGAUCUGAACCCCUCAACUUGAGGCCUUGGGCAGAGGACAAGGAUGGGAGCAGCUGGGGCUGGGCACACUGUUCUACAAGCCCCAGGAUUCCAGGGAGCAGCUGUUUCCUAGGAAGCCGAGGAGGGAGGAACAGGAGUUCAAGGGCAUGUAACAUGAUCCCCUCCGGUCCACAGCCUUUGAAGGCUUGCAGAUAAACUCAGGUUUGGGGCUGGUAACGCUGUAAAAUAAGCCAGGAGGAAAGAAGACAGGGUCUUAUGGGCCCCUCCUAAAUGCGAAUGGCCCUCUGCCCUUGAGGCUUUGAACUACAGCUAUAGAUGAACAUGGCCCAGUGCACCUCCCUCCUGUCAACACCUGGGUGGACCUAGAAUUGAAAGCAGUCCGUCCAUCCAGCCUGACUUGCGGUACCCAGCUCUGGCCAGGAGGUGGGCCAUCCAUCAACAGGGAGGCCGGGACAGGAUGUGGAAACCACAUAUUAACCCUGAGUUCCUAUUGGGAACUUUAAACCUGGCUAGUUUCAUGUUCAUGUUUCUCUUUAAGCUUCGUUGGGGACAGGGACCAAUGACACAUCCCACUCAUCUCUGUAUCCUCCGGUUCCUGCACACCCAGGCUCCUGGCACAAUACUCUGCUCUUAGUAGGUAAUUAAACCCCUAAACACCUGUUAAACAGAAAUAACUGCCUUAACUUUCCUGUUAAGCUACAAGCUACUUGCGGGCAAAG